CUCCAAAGUGUUGAGUUCAGGUCAGGGUCUCUCCCCUGUUCUGGUAAUUUAACUUUGGAACAUUGGUAAUGGCUAGAGGAAAUGAAAGGGUGGAGAGUGUUGCUCUACCCGUUUUUACCACCUAGCGUACAACC
Molecule: small nucleolar RNA, 134 nt
Organism: Ornithorhynchus anatinus (platypus)
Lineage: Eukaryota; Metazoa; Chordata; Mammalia; Monotremata; Ornithorhynchidae
Source: RefSeq, a predicted model, not a curated record